AAAGCGUGCGCAGGCGGUUAUAUAAGACAGAUGUGAAAUCCCCGGGCUCAACCUGGGAACUGCAUUUGUGACUGUAUAGCUGGAGUGCGGCAGAGGGGGAUGGAAUUCCGCGUGUAGCAGUGAAAUGCGUAGAUAUGCGGAGGAACACCGAUGGCGAAGGCAAUCCCCUGGGCCUGCACUGACGCUCAUGCACGAAAGCGUGGGGAGCAAACAGGAUUAGAUACCCGGGU
RNAcentral lists this ribosomal RNA (230 nucleotides) under uncultured bacterium. Its description in RNAcentral is "partial 16S ribosomal RNA". It matches the Rfam family "Bacterial small subunit ribosomal RNA", at positions 562 to 791 of the family's 1533-position model. The record is from RNAcentral.